GCAUAUCAAUAAGCGGAGGAAAAGAAACCAACAGGGAUUGCCUCAGUAGCGGCGAGUGAAGCGGCAAAAGCUCAAAUUUGAAAUCUGGCGUCUUUGGCGUCCGAGUUGUAAUUUGAAGAAGGUAUCUUUGGGCCCGGCUCUUGUCUAUGUUCCUUGGAACAGGACGUCACAGAGGGUGAGAAUCCCGUGCGAUGAGAUGACCCGGGUCUGUGUAAAGUUCCUUCGACGAGUCGAGUUGUUUGGGAAUGCAGCUCUAAGUGGGUGGUAAAUUCCAUCUAAAGCUAAAUAUUGGCGAGAGACCGAUAGCGAACAAGUACAGUGAUGGAAAGAUGAAAAGAACUUUGAAAAGAGAGUGAAAAAGUACGUGAAAUUGUUGAAAGGGAAGGGCUUGAGAUCAGACUUGGUAUUUUGCAUGCUGCUCUCUCGGGGGCGGCCGCUGCGGUUUACCGGGCCAGCAUCGGUUUGGAGCGGCAGGAUAAUGGCGGAGGAAUGUGGCACGGCUUCUGCUGUGUGUUAUAGCCUCUGACGAUACUGCCAGCCUAGACCGAGGACUGCGGUUUUUAACCUAGGAUGUUGGCAUAAUGAUCUUAAGUCGCCCGUCUUGAAACACGGACC
RNAcentral lists this ribosomal RNA (615 nucleotides) under Candida albicans. RNAcentral describes it as "LSU rRNA". It matches the Rfam family "Eukaryotic large subunit ribosomal RNA", at positions 38 to 667 of the family's 3401-position model. Lineage: Eukaryota; Fungi; Ascomycota; Pichiomycetes; Serinales; Debaryomycetaceae. The record is from RNAcentral.